AAAAAAAAAAAAAAGAAAGAAAGAGAAGAAGGUGGCCAUUUUCUCCCUCAACUCUCUUUUUUUUUUUUUAAUUUCUUGAAUUUUUUUGCCUUUUCUCAUCUUUCCUCACCUCACCUAGGCCUCGGCCGGGCGCCUAGGCAGCGCUUAGUUGCAGUCACCUUGCCUGGAGGCUUCCCAAGCGAGGCGCCUGGAUUUUGCCUCUCCCGGGCGCCUAGUGACAACAUUGCCUAAGGUAAUUAUUAAACUUUCCACUAGUAGACAUAGAGACCAACCUUUUUCCUUUCUUUUUUUUCUCAAAAAUUCACAUGGAUUAAUGAAGAGUAAAAACAAUCUAUAGGUAAAUUAGAUAUCACACCAUAGGUAGCUUGGGGACCUCAAUGAACAAACAUUUAACAUAUCAAGGCCAAUAGUGCAACUGGAAUCAUUGAUUUCCAAAGCAUACAUCCUUUGGUUAAACAAAGAGUUAAAACAAUUAAUAGGUAAAUUAGAUAUCCCACUCCAAGGUAAGGACUUAUGAAGCCUAGCUUCACCAUAUCAACAUCUAACAAUGUAAUAAAAAUAUUAAAUAGGAAAGGACAUGUUACUAGUUCUCUCACACAAGGUAGUUAGAGAACUCCUAUAACCCAAUUUUACUAAACCAACUCACAAAGUUUAAAUAGGUACCAAACCUUUUGCCUUGUCAAUAUCUAAAAUUGCAAUGCUAUAGUCAAAGAUGCUACUUUUAUGAAUGAAAUGUAAAUAAUUGAAAUAUUAAUUUCACUGGUUAUUAGUUGACUGAAUAACAUCACUCAGUUUAUUUACUUGCAAAAGUUUAGUGAAAGAUGCUAGUUGAAAUUGAUUUAUGAAGACAUUGAACCUAUAAGUAUACCAAGGGUCUUCUAUUUCACUUUUCACAUGAGGUGAAUAUGAAGUUCAUAAUCCAAAUGUUUCCCAUAUUAAAGAUCUGCAGCCAAAAAUAUUAACGCAUUCUCAUAAUCCAAUUUUCUUUCACUGCACUACUACUACUAUGAGAUUUCAGCAAUGGCAAUAUGACCCACUAUAAGAACGAGAUUGAAAUGUAUGCUUGUCCUUAAUUUUAAAAGUAAUUUAGGUGUGACACUGCACCUGAAAAUGUUGUUUUCAAUAAGAAGUCAUAUUUAGGUUCCCUUUCAAGUUAUCGAUGACGAUUGCAAAAGAUUGUAAACUAGUCAUCACUCAUCACAUUAUAUUUUAGUACUAGUAAACCUUGAGACAAAGUUCUCUCCAAUUAAAGGAGUAUGGUUGCAUUAAUUAGCGAAAAAAAAAUUAAUAGAUACCAUUCUUAUAAGUUUAAGUUCAGCCUCAAGUUCAUAAUUUUGAAUUUUUUAUGUAAUACAAUAAUAUAACAAAAGUAAGGCCAAAAACAUAUUUUAACCGUUGAAUUUUACCUUAAAAGUCUAGUGGCACACUAACCUUUAAAAACAUCCUAUCUCACCCCUUUAACUUUUAAAAAAUGAAAUAAAGUGAACCUUACAAUCCUAGUUAGCGUCAAAAUUGAAGGAGAAAUUGGUCUAGUUGAGGAUGUCACUAAGCUUUUUUGGUAAAGAUCAAGAGUUAAUUUAUGUAUUUGACCUUCUUAAAAUUAUUAAAUUAUGAAAGUUCAGUCGUGACAUUUGACAUUUUU
Molecule: unclassified non-coding RNA, 1642 nt
Filed under: Hevea brasiliensis (rubber tree)
Lineage: Eukaryota; Viridiplantae; Streptophyta; Magnoliopsida; Malpighiales; Euphorbiaceae
Source: RNAcentral